GGGAUGGGACCGCGCUGUGCCGGGCCCCCGCCCCCGGGCUCUGCUCCACAUCCACACACAGCCCGAGCCCCCAGCCCCAGUUUAGUCCCUCCUGUCCCCAAGCUGGUUUUGUUGUUUUGGCUGGAGUUCAGCGGCUGCGGGACGGGACUGGGACGUGCCCAGCAGAGCCAGAUGGGAAGCUCUCAGGAAGAGGCUGCACACCUUUUAGAGCGUUUUUAACUAUUCAAAACUUGAAGGUGCCCCAGGGCAGUCCCAUGAAAUCCAGGACCCAUCUCCCAGAAGAGACAGGGGCAGCCUGGCUGGGACAGGGGUUGAGUUCCCUGCUCUGUCCGGGCUUCUCAAGGGGAGCAAACCCCAAUUCCCACAUCCUGUGGGGCCGGCAUUAAUGGGAUUAUCUCUCCCCUAUCUGGGCUAAAGGGAAGCAGUACCUUAACACACUCCCAGGAUGGCCAGAGGUCUUUAAAAAGCUCCAGCACUUGAGGAAAAUCGCCUCCAGGCAUUCCUUGGGUUUGUAAAUUCAGGGUUUAAGGCCGAAGGGACCUGGCCAUGAUCUAGUUGCACCUCCCUUGUAAAACCAUAAAAGACGACAAAACUGCCUCGAGCAGUUAAUUUGCAGAAGCUCCUGGUUUUGGUUUUUAAUUUGCCAGCUCCUGGUGGCUGGAGGGCCCUCAGUAGAUGGAGAACGUGAGUAAUAUCUGCCACAUCCCUGGGCCAGCUGCUGCCACAAGGAACGGGACAAAGUGGCCAAAGUGGCUGCUGUGCUCCAGGCUAAAGUACAGAGGUGAACACCAGGGAUGUGUGGGGGGAAGGAAAAGGAGGCUUUCAGCCCAGAGAGCCCCUCCAAGCUCUGAGUGCACACCUCCACACACGCCUGACCAGCCAGGCCUCCCUAACAGCCCCAAGCACCCCAAACCCUGUCCCUGCUCCGAGGGCAGUGAGGAAGGACAUCCAUGGGUUCUGUUGUCCUUCAUCCCACCAGAGCCUGUCUCCAGGGCAGAGAGGAAGGACUUCCAUGGGUUCUGUUG
This is a long non-coding RNA of Zonotrichia leucophrys gambelii, 1025 nucleotides long. RefSeq lists it as uncharacterized. The record is from RefSeq and is a predicted model, not a curated record. The transcript is spliced from 2 exons. NCBI's taxonomy places the organism in Eukaryota, Metazoa, Chordata, Aves, Passeriformes, Passerellidae.